Molecule: ribosomal RNA, 492 nt
Filed under: uncultured bacterium
Lineage: Bacteria
Description: partial 16S ribosomal RNA
Rfam family: Bacterial small subunit ribosomal RNA
Source: RNAcentral
AGUGAACGCUGGCGGUAGGCCUAACACAUGCAAGUCGAACGGCAGCACAGUAAGAGCUUGCUCUUACGGGUGGCGAGUGGCGGACGGGUGAGGAAUACAUCGUAAUCUACUUUUUCGGGGGGGAUAACGUAGGGAAACUUACGCUAAUACCGCAUACGACCUACGGGGGAAAGCAGGGGAUCUUCUGACCUUGCGCGGUUGAAUGAGCCGAUGUCGGGUUAGCUAGUUGGGGGGGUAAAGGCCCACCAAGGCGACGAUCCGUAGCUGGUCUGAGAGGAUGAUCAGCCACACUGGAACUGAGACACGGUCCAGACUCCUACGGGAGGCAGCAGUGGGGAAUAUUGGGCAAUGGGCGCAAGCCUGAUCCAGCCAUACCGCGUGGGUGAAGAAGGCCUUCGGGUUGUAAAGCCCUUUUGUUGGGAAAGAAAAGCAGCAGGUUAAUACCCCGCUGUUCUGACGGUACCCAAAGAAUAAGCACCGGCUAACUUCGUG